GUUAUGCUCUCCCUAACCCCCAACCGUCAAGACUACUCUGCCUUUCCAUCCAAGACUCUUUCUGGAGGAAUGAGUGUUUUACCACAUGAUUGAACUUUCCCACGCCCUCCACAGAGGUUUCCUCACCCUUGAACUGAGAUCUAGAAUCCAGAUGUCUCGUCUCCAACAAGUUCAUCAACCGCAUGUUUUACAUCAAUAAAAAAAUGGCAAUAAAGCAAGAAUUUGCAGAUGGUGACGUCUUGGAAGUUUCUGUGGCACCUCUGGGCGUGGGUCCUGAAGAGUCACCUCAGAAAGACAAGGGACAUCUGCAGCUGCACAGUUCACCCGAGAAAGCAAAUGUGCUCAAGCCAUAAAUGGCUGAAGUCACAGGGACAUGGACCGUCUCCCUGCCCCUCCGCGACAUGUAGGAGAGCCCACAAGAACAGCAUGUUAUGUGACCAUGACCGGUGAAUCCUGAACCCCGAAGUGUAGACGCUGAAGCAAAUCUGAAUCCAUCCAUGCCCAGCCAAGACUCGUCACUGCUGCCAACCUGCAGAUGUGCCAGCAUGCAAUUCACCUGUGCUGUUAAAAGUGUCUCAUGCUUUGAGGUUGUCUGUUACCAAUAAUAUUGAAACAUAAAGACAAA
Long non-coding RNA from Piliocolobus tephrosceles (Ugandan red Colobus), 625 nucleotides. RefSeq lists it as uncharacterized. The record is from RefSeq and is a predicted model, not a curated record. NCBI's taxonomy places the organism in Eukaryota, Metazoa, Chordata, Mammalia, Primates, Cercopithecidae. The transcript has 4 exons.